AUGAACGCUGGCGGCGUGCCUAACACAUUCAAGUCGAGCGGCAGCGAGGGGUGCUUGCACCCUGUCGGCGAGCGGCGGACGGCUGAGUAGCGCGUGGGAACGUGCCCCAAAGUGAGGAAUAACUGCCCGAAAGGGUAGCUAAUACCGCAUAUUAUCUUCGGAUCAAAGGAUUUAUCCGCUUUGGGAGCGGCUCGCGUCGGAUUAGGUAGUUGGUGAGGUAAUGGCUCACCAAGCCGACGAUCCGUAGCUGGUCUGAGAGGAUGACCAGCCAGACUGGAACUGAGACACGGUCCAGACUCCUACGGGAGGCAGCAGUGAGGAAUCUUCCACAAUGGGCGAAAGCCUGAUGGAGCAACGCCGCGUGCAGGACGAAGGCCUUCGGGUUGUAAACUGCUUUUAUAAGUGAGGAAUAUGACGGUAACUUAUGAAUAAGGAUCGGCUAACUACGUG
This 450-nucleotide ribosomal RNA is filed under the name uncultured bacterium. RNAcentral's name for it is "partial 16S ribosomal RNA". It matches the Rfam family "Bacterial small subunit ribosomal RNA", at positions 29 to 507 of the family's 1533-position model. The record is from RNAcentral.